AUUGAACGCUGGCGGCAUGCCUUACACAUGCAAGUCGAACGGUAACAGGUCUUCGGAUGCUGACGAGUGGCGAACGGGUGAGUAAUACAUCGGAACGUGCCUAGUAGUGGGGGAUAACUACUCGAAAGAGUGGCUAAUACCGCAUUAGAUCUACGGAUGAAAGCAGGGGAGCGCAAGACCUUGUGCUACUAGAGCGGCCGAUGGCAGAUUAGGUAGUUGGUGGGAUAAAAGCUUACCAAACCGACGAUCUGUAGCUGGUCUGAGAGGACGAUCAGCCACACUGGGACUGAGAAACGGCCCAGACUCCUACGGGAGGCAGCAGUGGGGAAUUUUGGACAAUGGGCGCAAGCCUGAUCCAGCAAUGCCGCGUGCAGGAUGAAGGCCUUCGGGUUGUAAACUGCUUUUGUACGGAACGAAAAGCCCCGGGUUAAUACCCUGGGGUCAUGACGGUACCGUAAGAAUAAGCACCGGCUAACUACGUGCCAGCCGCCGCGGUAA
This 498-nucleotide ribosomal RNA is filed under the name uncultured bacterium. RNAcentral's name for it is "partial 16S ribosomal RNA". It matches the Rfam family "Bacterial small subunit ribosomal RNA", at positions 30 to 523 of the family's 1533-position model. The record is from RNAcentral.